UAAUACGGAGGGUGCAAGCGUUAUCCGGAUUCACUGGGUUUAAAGGGUGCGUAGGUGGGCAAGUAAGUCAGUGGUGAAAUCUCCGGGCUUAACCCGGAAACUGCCAUUGAUACUAUUUGUCUUGAAUACUGUGGAGGUCAGCGGAAUAUGUCAUGUAGCGGUGAAAUGCUUAGAUAUGACAUAGAACACCAAUUGCGAAGGCAGCUGGCUACACAAAUAUUGACACUGAGGCACGAAAGCGUGGGGAUCAAACAGGAUUAGAUACCCUGGUAGUCCACGCCCUAAACUAUGGAUACUCGACAUUUGCGAUAAACUGCAAGUGUCUGAGCGAAAGCAUUAAGUAUCCCACCUGGGAAGUACGAUCGCAAGAUU
Molecule: ribosomal RNA, 372 nt
Filed under: uncultured bacterium
Lineage: Bacteria
Description: bacterial SSU rRNA
Rfam family: Bacterial small subunit ribosomal RNA
Source: RNAcentral